This is a non-coding RNA of Picea glauca (white spruce), 123 nucleotides long. The record is from Rfam. Lineage: Eukaryota; Viridiplantae; Streptophyta; Pinopsida; Pinales; Pinaceae.
AUGUACAUUCCUACAUAAUAGCAUUAAUUCACCAGAUCCCAUUAGAACUAUGCAGUUAAGUGCGCUCAUGCUAGAGUAAUACUGGGAUGGGUGACCGCCCGAGAAUUCCCAGUGUUUUACAUG